GUAGCUUGCUACCUGCCGGCGAGUGGCGAACGGGUGAGUAAUACAUCGGAACGUGCCCUGUAGUGGGGGAUAACUAGUCGAAAGACUAGCUAAUACCGCAUACGACCUGAGGGUGAAAGUGGGGGACCGCAAGGCCUCAUGCUAUAGGAGCGGCCGAUGUCUGAUUAGCUAGUUGGUGGGGUAAAGGCCCACCAAGGCGACGAUCAGUAGCUGGUCUGAGAGGACGAUCAGCCACACUGGGACUGAGACACGGCCCAGACUCCUACGGGAGGCAGCAGUG
RNAcentral lists this ribosomal RNA (280 nucleotides) under Ralstonia solanacearum. Its description in RNAcentral is "partial 16S ribosomal RNA". It matches the Rfam family "Bacterial small subunit ribosomal RNA", at positions 75 to 356 of the family's 1533-position model. The record is from RNAcentral. Lineage: Bacteria; Pseudomonadati; Pseudomonadota; Betaproteobacteria; Burkholderiales; Burkholderiaceae.